ACACUAACAUGCAUUUUGUAUGACCCCUAUUAUUUUGGUAAAAUAAUUAACAUUUUACAGAUUCUGCAAGUUGUGUAUGUACACUUUGGACCUUAACUAUACAUAUGUACUGUAUGUGUGUGUGUGUGUGUGUGUGUGUGUGUGUAUUCUAAAUUUGUUUAUUCAUUCAUUCAGGUGAACUUUAAGAAUUACCAAGGUGUUGUUUCAUUUGUAAAUAUCGGCAACGUACACUGGAAGUUUCUGUACAUAAACGAGGUGAACCACACAGUGUUUCUGGUGGAUCCUGCAAAAAGUUCCACAGAGGAAUCUGAUUCCAGUCUUGCAGCCAGAAGAUUCAGUGACUACCUAAAAAUGAGAAGGACACGCCAUGGAAAAAAGGACUGGAGUUCUGACCCAUCCAAUCCAGAAGACAGCUGUAGCUGUGGGGUCAUUGUCAUCAUGGUGUGAGAAGUAAUGUAAUACCUAGCUCAUAGUUGUAUUAGGUAAUUUAAAUCCAUGUCUUUUAACUCUUGUUAACUGACUUGUACAGCACUAAAUGAGUAAAUAAUAUUCUGUUAAUGUAGUUGUCGCUAAUGCAUUGGUACAGCCACCCUAUGCAAGAAACUGGUACAGAUGUAGAUGUACUAUGAUGAUGAAUGUCUGUGUUUGUGUAGAUGGCAAGAGCAGUGAUGAAGGCCUUUCCAGCUGUUCCAGACAUAACGUUUAGAACAUCCAAAAAAGAAAUGGCAAAUGAGUGACAGCUGUGUAAAAUGGUUCCAUGAAGAGGUCCUAGGCAUGGCUGAAGAAGAGCUGAAACAGGCCAGAGCAGACAACUGGAACUGCAGCUUGUGCUGUUAAAUCCCUUUUUGAAGAAAAGUUUAAAACACAAAAAAAAUGCCUUUUCUGCUAAUUUAUUCAUUUAUUUAUUUAACAUAUCCACUUCUUAAUUUUGUAACUGUACUACAAAAAUUGUUGCUACUGAAUAUGUAUAACAAACAGCAAAUGGCUUGAUGUGGAAAUAAUCUGUAAAUAAUAAUUUAAUUAAACUUUUCUUUCAUGUAAAAAAAACUUCAAACUCUCCUGAAAUUGUGUAAAUGAAAAUCUGUGGUGAUGUACUGUCCAUCUAAAGUGAUACUGGCCUGUGGAAACAGGGAGUUUUUCUGUUAAUCUGAAGUGAAGGUGGUAUGUGAAAAGGGGAGUUUCCUUUUUAUUUUGUGAUUCUGCAUCAAACAGUCCUGACAUUGUGUGCGUGGUACUUAGAUCACGUGUACUAUCAAUAUGAAGUAAAAGUGGUUACUGGAAACAACGUUUUCUAAGCCAGUUUGAAUAGAUACAGUGCACAGCAUAAAUGAGUACACCCCCUCUGAAUAAAUCUAAAAGAUGUAUUCUCUUAAUGAUCACUAAUAUAUUUCAUGGAAAGAUGGCAAAAAUUAAACAUAUUAAACAUAUAUUUAAAUAUAUAUGCCAAUAUUUUCUAAUAGAUAAAUAAAUUAGACAAUUUUUUUUAAAUGAAGGAUUGCAGAAAUGAGUACACACAAGAUUUAAUUCAGAAAACAUAUACUUUUCUAGUACUUAGUAUGUCCUCCAGAACUUUAAGUAUAAUGCUCUGACCCUUCUUGGCACUGAGUGUACAAGUUCAUGACAAAUUUUCACAUCUGUCCUGUUUAACUCCUGGAGGACGACCUCCUUAAAUGCUCUGGUCUUUAAUGGGGAGUUUUGCUCAGCUCGUCUCUACAGAAUCCCCCACAGCUGCUCAAGAGCGUUAAGAUUGAGUGAAAUUCAUGUCCACUCAAGGAUUUUCACCUUAGGAUAAUGAAUAUAUUCAUUGUCAUGCUGAAAAAAUUCACAAUAAUGCUGGGGAUUAGAGGAGGGUAGCGUCUUUUGUUUCAAGCUUUUUGUAUUAGAUCACACAGUAGUGUGUGAAUUCAUGCCAGCAUUGAUAAAGCACAACUCCCUCACACCUUCAGCACUCAUUCAUCCCUAUAUAAAAGCUUUACUACCACUGAACGUCACUGUGGGAACCAGGCACUUCUCUCUGUAAUCCUCUUCUAGCAAGACCAGCACAUUUUGGAUGCUUUUGGAUCCGAAAUGAUUGACUUGUUCUCUUGAGACUAGAGCAUGGAUUACCAAAAGUCUAUAUUUUGUAAAUAUGGGCCCUGGAAGAAGUGAAAUGAGUUUAUUUUGCUUUGGCUACAUUCAGUAGUUUUGGUGUGGAUAAAUAACCAUGCAUGUCACUUCUUUGCAUAGCUUUUGCCGGCUCUGAGACACUUGCAUGUUAUUUCUCCUGCUCUUUCUCUAGCAAAAAUUCACUCAUCACUAAAUGAUAACUUAAAGUGAAAACCUGACUAUUUCAGAAGCCUUAUCACAAGUCCAUUGACUUCCAUAGUAGCAAAAAAUAUAAAAAUAAAUUACUAUGGAGGUCAAUGGCAACCACCAACUGUUUGAUUACCAGCAAUCUUUAAAAUAUCUUCCUUUAUGUUCAACAUAAGAAAGCAACUCAUACAGGUUGGAACAACAUGAGGGUGAGUAAAUGAUGACAGAAUUUUAAUAUUUGCUUGAACUAUACCUUUAACUUUAGUUAUUGCAUUAACAUUAACAAUGAGCAAUAACUACACUUGUUACAGAAGUUAUCAUUCUUUGCUAAAAUAAAAUACAAGUGUUAGUUCAUGUUAGCUCGGGUACAUUAAAUAAUAAAAAACUUGAUUUUAAUGUGUUAAAUGUUUAAAUGAACUACGAUUGGUGAAUGCUUAUAAGAAUUUUUCAUUGGCAGUUUAUGCUAACUAAUGAAUAAACUUAUGUUAAUUAAUGUUAAGUAAAGAUUAAAAUGUAAUAAAGUUACAAUACAAUAAAUAGCCUAUUAAGUCUAAGUAUUUAAGUCUAAGUGUUCAGCACAGUGCCAAACAGUUUGGCACUAUGCUGAAUAUCAUUGCCAGUAUAAAAUUCUGAACGGCUGUUUGAAACAUUUAACCCUAUGGUGUGCUUUGGUCAUUUUAGACAUAAAAACAAAUAAUAUUUGGAUAUUUUAAAAGACACCUUCAUUGGACUGGUACAAAAUUCUGACUUUUAUGGGAGCCGCAAUGUGGCUGAGGGAGACUCUGGGGUACUUGGCUAUAAAUCAGAAUUGAAAUUAGUCUGUGGAAACGGAGUUUCCUUUUUAGAGGUAUUCAAAUUCAUAAGCAGAACUGAUCAUAUAUGAGAUUUUGGAGGGCUUUUAUUAUGUAAUGCAACAUCAGAUCAUCCUGAAACUGGCUGAGGGACACCCUGGGGUACUGGACUACUAAUCUGAAUUGAAAUUAGUCUGUGGAAACAGGGAGUUUCCUUUUUAGAGCCAUUCAAAAUCACAGGCAGAACAGGUGUUAUAUGAGAUUUUGGAGGGCUUUAUUAUGUAAUGCAACAUCAGAUCGUCCUGAAACUGGCUGAGGGACACCCUGGGGUACUGGACUACUAAUCUGAAUUGAAAUUAGUCUGUGGAAACAGGGAGUUUCCUUUUUAGAGGUAUUCAAAAUCAGUGCUUGGGCAGCUUCUCGGAGAAGCUGUGGAACAGACUUCGCCAUGUUCCCUCCUGCCAAUUACAACAACAACGCAAAGUAAGCCCUGCCUUGAAGCAAUGAUUGACAGAGGGUGGGCGUGGUCAGUUCGGAAUGCAUUUUCAAAGCCGCACUGAAUUUUGCUACAAAUAUCCCUCAGCAUCAUGAUGAAAAUGCAUUUAGGACAAAUAACAUUUAAAUGAUCAUUUUGUUACUAUUUCUGCGUGGACGUGUUACACAUAUCAAA
Molecule: long non-coding RNA, 3753 nt
Organism: Cyprinus carpio carpio
Lineage: Eukaryota; Metazoa; Chordata; Actinopteri; Cypriniformes; Cyprinidae
Source: Ensembl